This 953-nucleotide ribosomal RNA is filed under the name Alternaria alternata. RNAcentral describes it as "SSU rRNA". It matches the Rfam family "Eukaryotic small subunit ribosomal RNA", at positions 89 to 1051 of the family's 1831-position model. The record is from RNAcentral. Lineage: Eukaryota; Fungi; Ascomycota; Dothideomycetes; Pleosporales; Pleosporaceae.
GCGAAUGGCUCAUUAAAUCAGUUAUCGUUUAUUUGAUAAUACCUUACUACUUGGAUAACCGUGGUAAUUCUAGAGCUAAUACAUGCUGAAAAUCCCGACUUCGGAAGGGAUGUGUUUAUUAGAUAAAAAACCAAUGCCCUUCGGGGCUUUUUGGUGAUUCAUGAUAACUUUACGGAUCGCAUAGCCUUGCGCUGGCGACGGUUCAUUCAAAUUUCUGCCCUAUCAACUUUCGAUGGUAAGGUAUUGGCUUACCAUGGUUUCAACGGGUAACGGGGAAUUAGGGUUCGAUUCCGGAGAGGGAGCCUGAGAAACGGCUACCACAUCCAAGGAAGGCAGCAGGCGCGCAAAUUACCCAAUCCCGACACGGGGAGGUAGUGACAAUAAAUACUGAUACAGGGCUCUUUUGGGUCUUGUAAUUGGAAUGAGUACAAUUUAAACCUCUUAACGAGGAACAAUUGGAGGGCAAGUCUGGUGCCAGCAGCCGCGGUAAUUCCAGCUCCAAUAGCGUAUAUUAAAGUUGUUGCAGUUAAAAAGCUCGUAGUUGAAACUUGGGCCUGGCUGGCGGGUCCGCCUCACCGCGUGCACUCGUCCGGCCGGGCCUUCCUUCUGAAGAACCUCAUGCCCUUCACUGGGCGUGCUGGGGAAUCAGGACUUUUACUUUGAAAAAAUUAGAGUGUUCAAAGCAGGCCUUUGCUCGAAUACGUUAGCAUGGAAUAAUAAAAUAGGGCGUGCGUUUCUAUUUUGUUGGUUUCUAGAGACGCCGCAAUGAUUAACAGGAACAGUCGGGGGCAUCAGUAUUCAGUUGUCAGAGGUGAAAUUCUUGGAUUUACUGAAGACUAACUACUGCGAAAGCAUUUGCCAAGGAUGUUUUCAUUAAUCAGUGAACGAAAGUUAGGGGAUCGAAGACGAUCAGAUACCGUCGUAGUCUUAACCGUAAACUAUGCCGACUAGGG